CUUGCACCUGGUGGCGAGUGGCGAACGGGUGAGUAAUACAUCGGAACGUACCUUAUCGUGGGGGAUAACGCAGCGAAAGCUGUGCUAAUACCGCAUACGCCCUGAGGGGGAAAGCGGGGAAUCGAAAGACCUCGCGCGAUUAGAGCGGCCGAUGCCUGAUUAGCUUGUUGGUGGGGUAAAAGCCCACCAAGGCGACGAUCAGUAGCUGGUCUGAGAGGACGAUCAGCCACACUGGGACUGAGACACGGCCCAGACUCCUACGGGAGGCAGCAGUGGGGAAUUUUGGACAAUGGGGGAAACCCUGAUCCAGCAAUGCCGCGUGAGUGAAGAAGGCCUUCGGGUUGUAAAGCUCUUUUGUCAGGGAAGAAACACCGGCUCUAACACAGUCCGGGAAUGACGGUACCUGAAGAGUAAGCACCGGCUAACUACGUGCCAGCAGCCGCGGUAAUACGUAGGGUGCGAGCGUUAAUCGGAAUUACUGGGCGUAAAGCGUGCGCAGGCGGUUAUACAAGACAGGCGUGAAAUCCCCGGGCUUAACCUGGGAAUGGCGCCUGUGACUGUAUAGCUAGAGUGUGUCAGAGGGGGGUAGAAUUCCACGUGUAGCAGUGAAAUGCGUAGAUAUGUGGAGGAAUACCAAUGGCGAAGGCAGCCCCCUGGGAUAACACUGACGCUCAUGCACGAAAGCGUGGGGAGCAAACAG
Molecule: ribosomal RNA, 700 nt
Filed under: uncultured beta proteobacterium
Lineage: Bacteria; Pseudomonadati; Pseudomonadota; Betaproteobacteria
Description: bacterial SSU rRNA
Rfam family: Bacterial small subunit ribosomal RNA
Source: RNAcentral